CACCAGCCCCCGAGUGGUGGGGAUGAUUAUUUGGCCUAAAGCGUCCGUAGCUGGUUCGAUAAAUCUCUCGUUAAAUCCAGCGUCCUAAGCGUUGGGCUGCGAGAGAGACUGUCGAGCUAGAGGGUGGGAGAGGUCAGCGGUAUUCCUGGGGUAGGGGCGAAAUCCAUUGAUCCCAGGAGGACCACCAGUGGCGAAGGCUGCUGACUAGAACACGCCUGACGGUGAGGGACGAAAGCUGGGGUAGCGAAUCGGAUUAGAUACCCGAGUAGUCCCAGCCGUAAACGAUGCAGGCUAGGUGUUGGGUCGGCCAUGCGCCGCCUCAGUGCCACAGGGAAGCCAUUAAGCCUGCCGCCUGGGGAUACGGCCGCAAGGCUGAAACUUAAAGGAAUUGGCGGGGAGCACCACCAGGCGUGAAGCCUGCGGUUU
Molecule: ribosomal RNA, 426 nt
Filed under: uncultured archaeon
Lineage: Archaea
Description: bacterial SSU rRNA
Rfam family: Archaeal small subunit ribosomal RNA
Source: RNAcentral